ACGACGUCGAGCUACUACGGUAGUGAAGUCAUUGAUGCCAUGCUUCCAGGAAAAGCCUCUAAGCUUCAGAUAGUCAGGAAUCGUACCCCAAACCGACACAGGUGGUCGGGUAGAGAAUACCAAGGCGCUUGAGAGAACUCGGGUGAAGGAACUAGGCAAAAUGGUACCGUAACUUCGGGAGAAGGUACGCUCUUGAUGGUGAAGUCCCUCGCGGAUGGAGCUGACGAGAGUCGCAGAUACCAGGUGGCUGCAACUGUUUAUUAAAAACACAGCACUGUGCAAAAUCGCAAGAUGACGUAUACGGUGUGACGCCUGCCCGGUGCCGGAAGGUUAAUUGAUGGGGUUAGCGCAAGCGAAGCUCUUGAUCGAAGCCCCGGUAAACGGCGGCCGUAACUAUAACGGUCCUAAGGUAGCGAAAUUCCUUGUCGGGUAAGUUCCGACCUGCACGAAUGGCGUAAUGAUGGCCACGCUGUCUCCACCCGAGACUCAGUGAAAUUGAAAUCGCUGUGAAGAUACAGUGUACCCGCGGCUAGACGGAAAGACCCCGUGAACCUUUACUACAGCUUGGCACUGAACAUUGAACCUACAUGUGUAGGAUAGGUGGGAGGCUAUGAAGACGUGACGCCAGUUGCGUUGGAGCCGUCCUUGAAAUACCACCCUUGUAUGUUUGAUGUUCUAACUUAGACCCAUUAUCUGGGUUGAGGACAGUGCCUGGUGGGUAGUUUGACUGGGGCGGUCUCCUCCCAAAGAGUAACGGAGGAGCACGAAGGUGGGCUAAUCACGGUUGGACAUCGUGAGGUUAGUGCAAUGGCAUAAGCCCGCUUAACUGCGAGAAUGACGGUUCGAGCAGGUGCGAAAGCAGGUCAUAGUGAUCCGGUGGUUCUGUAUGGAAGGGCCAUCGCUCAACGGAUAAAAGGUACUCCGGGGAUAACAGGCUGAUACCGCCCAAGAGUUCAUAUCGACGGCGGUGUUUGGCACCUCGAUGUCGGCUCAUCACAUCCUGGGGCUGAAGUCGGUCCCAAGGGUAUGGCUGUUCGCCAUUUAAAGUGGUACGCGAGCUGGGUUUAGAACGUCGUGAGACAGUUCGGUCCCUAUCUGCCGUGGGCGUUGGAAGAUUGAAGGGGGCUGCUCCUAGUACGAGAGGACCGGAGUGGACGAACCUCUGGUGUUCGGGUUGUGUCGCCAGACGCAUUGCCCGGUAGCUAAGUUCGGAAUUGAUAAGCGCUGAAAGCAUCUAAGCGCGAAGCGAGCCCUGAGAUGAGUCUUCCCUGAUACUUUAAGUAUCCUAAAGGGUUGUUCGAGACUAGAACGUUGAUAGGCAGGGUGUGUAAGCGUUGUGAGGCGUUGAGCUAACCUGUACUAAUUGCCCGUGAGGCUUAACCAU
RNAcentral lists this ribosomal RNA (1384 nucleotides) under Vibrio cholerae 12129(1). RNAcentral describes it as "bacterial LSU rRNA". It matches the Rfam family "Bacterial large subunit ribosomal RNA", at positions 1563 to 2925 of the family's 2925-position model. Lineage: Bacteria; Pseudomonadati; Pseudomonadota; Gammaproteobacteria; Vibrionales; Vibrionaceae. The record is from RNAcentral.